RNAcentral lists this ribosomal RNA (229 nucleotides) under uncultured bacterium. RNAcentral describes it as "partial 16S ribosomal RNA". It matches the Rfam family "Bacterial small subunit ribosomal RNA", at positions 355 to 601 of the family's 1533-position model. The record is from RNAcentral.
UGGGGAAUAUUGGACAAUGGGGGCAACCCUGAUCCAGCAAUGCCGCGUGUGUGAAGAAGGUUUUCGGAUUGUAAAGCACUUUCGACGGGGACGAUGAUGACGGUACCCGUAGAAGAAGCCCCGGCUAACUUCGUGCCAGCAGCCGCGGUAAUACGAAGGGGGCUAGCGUUGCUCGGAAUGACUGGGCGUAAAGGGCGUGUAGGCGGUUUGUACAGUCAGAUGUGAAAUC